This 498-nucleotide ribosomal RNA is filed under the name uncultured bacterium. RNAcentral's name for it is "partial 16S ribosomal RNA". It matches the Rfam family "Bacterial small subunit ribosomal RNA", at positions 28 to 507 of the family's 1533-position model. The record is from RNAcentral.
GACGAACGCUGGCGGCGUGCCUAAUACAUGCAAGUCGAACGAGAGCGACCGGUGCUUGCACUGGUCAAUCUAGUGGCGAACGGGUGAGUAACACGUGGGUAACCUGCUCAUCAGAGGGGGAUAACAUCCGGAAACGGAUGCUAAAACCGCAUAGGUCUUCGAGCCGCAUGGCUUGAAGAGGAAAAGAGGCGCAAGCUUCUGCUGAUGGAUGGACCCGCGGUGCAUUAGCUAGUUGGUGAGGUAACGGCUCACCAAGGCCGUGAUGCAUAGCCGACCUGAGAGGGUGAUCGGCCACAUUGGGACUGAGACACGGCCCAAACUCCUACGGGAGGCAGCAGUAGGGAAUCUUCCGCAAUGGACGCAAGUCUGACGGAGCAACGCCGCGUGAGUGAAGAAGGUGUUCGGAUCGUAAAACUCUGUUGUUAGAGAAGAACAAGUGCUAGAGUAACUGUUAGCGCCUUGACGGUAGCUAACCAGAAAGCCACGGCUAACUACGUG